RNAcentral lists this ribosomal RNA (492 nucleotides) under uncultured bacterium. RNAcentral describes it as "partial 16S ribosomal RNA". It matches the Rfam family "Bacterial small subunit ribosomal RNA", at positions 29 to 507 of the family's 1533-position model. The record is from RNAcentral.
AGUGAACGCUGGCGGUAGGCCUAACACAUGCAAGUCGAACGGCAGCACAGUAAGAGCUUGCUCUUACGGGUGGCGAGUGGCGGACGGGUGAGGAAUACAUCGGAAUCUACUUUUUCGUGGGGGAUAACGUAGGGAAACUUACGCUAAUACCGCAUACGACCUACGGGUGAAAGCAGGGGAUCUUCGGACCUUGCGCGAUUGAAUGAGCCGAUGCCGGAUUAGCUAGUUGGCGGGGUAAAGGCCCACCAAGGCGACGAUCCGUAGCUGGUCUGAGAGGAUGAUCAGCCACACUGGAACUGAGACACGGUCCAGACUCCUACGGGAGGCAGCAGUGGGGAAUAUUGGACAAUGGGCGCAAGCCUGACCCAGCCAUACCGCGUGGGUGAAGAAGGCCUUCGGGUUGUAAAGCCCUUUUGUUGGGAAAGAAAAGCAGCAGGUUAAUACCCCGCUGUUCUGACGGUACCCAAAGAAUAAGCACCGGCUAACUUCGUG